This 397-nucleotide ribosomal RNA is filed under the name uncultured bacterium. Its description in RNAcentral is "partial 16S ribosomal RNA". It matches the Rfam family "Bacterial small subunit ribosomal RNA", at positions 523 to 918 of the family's 1533-position model. The record is from RNAcentral.
AUACGUAGGUGGCGAGCGUUGUCCGGAAUUACUGGGCGUAAAGGAUGCGUAGGUGGAUACUUAAGUGGGAUGUGAAAUCCCCGGGCUCAACCCGGGAACUGCAUUCCAAACUGGGUAUCUAGAGUGCAGGAGAGGAAAGCGGAAUUCCUAGUGUAGCGGUGAAAUGCGUAGAUAUUAGGAGGAACACCAGUGGCGAAGGCGGCUUUCUGGACUCUAACUGACACUGAGGCAUGAAAGCGUGGGUAGCAAACAGGAUUAGAUACCCUGGUAGUCCACGCCGUAAACGAUGGGUACUAGGUGUAGGAGGUAUCGACCCCUUCUGUGCCGUCGUUAACACAAUAAGUACCCCGCCUGGGGAGUACGGUCGCAAGACUAAAACUCAAAUGAAUUGACGGGG